AGGGCACCMCCMGGAGUGGAGCCUGSGGCUUAAUUUGACUCAACACGGGAAAACUCACCCRGCCCGGACACUGGAAGGRUUGASAGAUUGAKRGCUCUUUCUUGAUUCRGUGGGUGGUGGUGCMUGGYCGUUCUUAGUUGGUGGAGCGAUUUGUCKGGWUAAUUCCGAUAACGAACGAGACUCUAGCCUACUAAAUAGAUCGWUGGCUUACAAACGCCAAUGAGACUKCUUAGAGGGACAGGCGGYGAUUCAGCCGCACGAAACAGAGCAAUAACAGGUCUGUGAUGCCCUUAGAUGUCCGGGGCCGCACGCGCGCUACACUGAAGUGAUCAGCGUGCAUUCUCAGCCUACUCUGCCAAGAGUGGGAAACCCAAUGAACCUUCUUCGUGAUUGGGAUAGGAGAUUGUAAUUAUUCUCCUUGAACRAGGAAUUCCCAGUAAGCGCGAGUCAUAAGCUCGCGUUGGUUACGUCCCUGCCCUUUGUACACACCGCCCGUCGCUACUACCGAUUGAAUGUUUU
This 519-nucleotide ribosomal RNA is filed under the name uncultured eukaryote. RNAcentral's name for it is "partial 18S ribosomal RNA". It matches the Rfam family "Eukaryotic small subunit ribosomal RNA", at positions 1172 to 1719 of the family's 1831-position model. The record is from RNAcentral.